This 794-nucleotide ribosomal RNA is filed under the name uncultured Bacteroidota bacterium. Its description in RNAcentral is "bacterial SSU rRNA". It matches the Rfam family "Bacterial small subunit ribosomal RNA", at positions 66 to 854 of the family's 1533-position model. The record is from RNAcentral. Lineage: Bacteria; Pseudomonadati; Bacteroidota.
ACGGUAACAGGGCUGUAGCAAUACAGUUGCUGACGAGUGGCAGACGGGUGAGGAACACGUACGCAAUCUACCUUUAUCUGGUGAAUAGCUCAGAGAAAUCUGAAUUAAUACACCAUAGCACUUUGAAAAGGCAUCUUUUUGAAAUUAAAGCCCCGGCGGAUAGAGAUGAGCGUGCGUCUGAUUAGCUAGUUGGUAGGGUAAUGGCCUACCAAGGCGACGAUCAGUAACUGGUGUGAGAGCACGACCAGUCACACGGGCACUGAGAUACGGGCCCGACUCCUACGGGAGGCAGCAGUAAGGAAUAUUGGUCAAUGGACGCAAGUCUGAACCAGCCAUGCCGCGUGAAGGAUGAAGGUCCUCUGGAUUGUAAACUUCUUUUAUUAGGGACGAAACCCUCGGUUUUCACCGGGGUUGACGGUACCUAAGGAAUAAGCACCGGCUAACUCCGUGCCAGCAGCCGCGGUAAUACGGAGGGUGCAAGCGUUAUCCGGAUUUACUGGGUUUAAAGGGUGCGUAGGCGGGUCUUUAAGUCAGUGGUGAAAACCCCGAGCUUAACUCGGGAACUGCCAUUGAUACUAUUGAUCUUGAAUUCGGUUGAGGUGAGCGGAAUGUGUCGUGUAGCGGUGAAAUGCUUAGAUAUGACACAGAACACCAAUUGCGAAGGCAGCUCGCUAAGCCGAUAUUGACGCUGAGGCACGAAAGCGUGGGGAUCAAACAGGAUUAGAAACCCUGGUAGUCCACGCCCUAAACGAUGAUUACUCGAUGUUAGCGAUACACAGUUAGCGUCUAAGCGA